AGGCAAUCGCUUUAACGCCACACACGCAUCGGCACCGCCUUCGGGGUGCCCUACCUGUCGUCGUCGCGAAAGGCGUCGCGUCCAGGUCGGGUCGAAGCCGGGGAUGCGUGGAGGUCCCAAC
RNAcentral lists this small RNA (121 nucleotides) under Luteibacter sp. UNCMF366Tsu5.1. RNAcentral describes it as "t44 RNA". It matches the Rfam family "t44 RNA". Rfam says of the family: This family consists of a number of bacterial RNA genes of between 135 and 170 bases in length. The t44 gene is found between the map and rpsB genes in all species in the full alignment apart from Shigella flexneri. The function of this RNA is unknown. The record is from Rfam by way of RNAcentral. Lineage: Bacteria; Pseudomonadati; Pseudomonadota; Gammaproteobacteria; Lysobacterales; Rhodanobacteraceae.